AUUGAACGCUGGCGGCAGGCUUAACACAUGCAAGUCGAGCGGGGUGAUGGUGCUUGCACUAUCACUUAGCGGCGGACGGGUGAGUAAUGCUUAGGAAUCUGCCUAUUAGUGGGGGACAACAUCUCGAAAGGGAUGCUAAUACCGCAAACGUCCUACGGGAGAAAGCAGGGGAUCACUUGUGACCUUGCGCUAAUAGAUGAGCCUAAGUCGGAUUAGCUAGUUGGUGGGGUAAAGGCAUACCAAGGCGACGAUCUGUAGCGGGUCUGAGAGGAUGAUCCGCCACACUGGGACUGAGACACGGCCCAGACUCCUACGGGAGGCAGCAGUGGGGAAUAUUGGACAAUGGGGGGAACCCUGAUCCAGCCAUGCCGCGUGUGUGAAGAAGGCCUUAUGGUUGUAAAGCACUUUAAGCGAGGAGGAGGCUCUUUUGGUUAAUACCCAAGAUGAGUGGACGUUACUCGCAGAAUAAGCACCGGCUAACUCUGUGCCAGCAGCCGCCGUAA
This 503-nucleotide ribosomal RNA is filed under the name uncultured bacterium. RNAcentral's name for it is "partial 16S ribosomal RNA". It matches the Rfam family "Bacterial small subunit ribosomal RNA", at positions 30 to 523 of the family's 1533-position model. The record is from RNAcentral.